UAUUUAAUAUUUAUUAUAAACAACUGCCACUUAUUCAGUGGUUGCCAUUUGUUAAACUAUAUCUAAAUUAUUCUAAUUUAGCCUUUAAGGUCUAAAGGCUGUAUAUUAUUUGUUUUACAAAUGAGAACACCAAUGCUCAGAGAAUUUGCCCAAAGUCACAGAGUGGAAUCAAUUAACUGCUUAAUUCUAAAAUCUAUACUUUUAAGCAUCUGGCUACACCAUUUCUCUAAAAUUCCUAUUUAGUUCAAAUAUGAGCAGCAUUCCCCUGCGCAGAAAACCCAAACGAACUGCACCAAACCCGGGGAGACCCGAAACAGAAAUCACUAGGAUGGAGGAUCCCUGCCGGGUCUUGGCUCCCUUACGUCAUCACGCUGCGCGGCCUCCUCUCGCGCACCACGUGCCAAGGGAGCAGCCUACAGAUGGCAGGAUUUCCGUCUGGGGGCGUGUCCUGUCCAUCUGUGGCGCAAGAUGGCGCUCCCCUUUUCGCAGUCGUUGCGCUUGUGCCGUUGGGGAGCUAAACCAUUGGGGGUUGCUGCCGCGGAAGCCCGGAGAGGCGUCAGUUUUAAAUUGGAAGAAAAAACCGCCCACAGCAGCCUGGCACUCUUCAGAGGUGACACAGGUGUCAAAUAUGGCUUGGUGGGAUUGGAACCCUCCAAGGUGGCCCUGAAUGUGGAGCGCUUCCGGGAGUGGGCAGUGGUGCUGGCAGACACAGCGGUCAUCAGUGGCAGACACUACUGGGAGGUGACGGUGAAGCGCUCCCAGCAGUUUCGGAUAGGAGUGGCAGAUGUGGACAUGUCCCGGGAUAGCUGCAUUGGUGUUGAUGAUCGUUCCUGGGUGUUUACCUAUGCCCACCGCAAAUGGCACACCAUGUUGGCCAACGAGAAAGCUCCAAUUGAGGGUAUUGGGCAGCCAGAGAAGGUGGGGCUGCUGCUGGAGUAUGAGGCCCAGAAACUGAGCCUGGUAGAUGUGAGCCAGGUUUCCGUGGUCCAGACACUACAGACAGAUUUCCGGGGUCCAGUGGUGCCUGCCUUUGCUCUUUGGGAUGGAGAGCUGCUGACCCACUCAGGGCUUGAGGUGCCAGAGGGCCUCUAGUAUGUCUGUUAUUGGAGUCCCUAAUCAUGCUCUUGGCCAGCCACCUAUUGAAAGUGUCUGAAGCCUAUUUACUUUGUCCCAAGCAACCUCUAGUUCCCACAAUUCAGUGUCAGGUCCUCUGUGCAAUAAAUCUCUUAGUCAUCUUCCUCUCUCCCAUACCCUGUGAAAGCUAGGCAUACAGCCAACCCUCAUCCUUCCAAAUUACUGCCAAUUUCCUCGGCUACCAUGGGUGUAUUUUUCCUGACUUGCUUCCUUCAGUCCCUCUGCCUCCGUAUGCCCAGGCCUUUCUUAGACUGUAUUCAGUCCUGGGUCUUAUCUUUCAGCCUUGUUUGAAUUUAUUCAUCACUGUGAUACCUUUCCCUCAAUUUACCCACAUGUACUUGUUUGUUCUUGGGGGUUCUACCAGAUCUCUCCAGAGUAAAUUCUACCUCUGGCUGGAGGAGUGGUGCAAUGGCUUGGCCCUUUCUCUACAGCACAUACAGAGUCUGGGCUCUGGCUCCCUCAGAGCUUUAUUGAUUCAGUGUGUCAGAGGGAGAACAGGGCCCUCCUACCCCAGUACCUCAGUGCUACAGACCCUGAACCCCACUAGCUGCAACCUCAUCUACCUUAAUCUGUACACCUCUGACACCAGCCAGUCAGUCAUAAUUAUUGUGCCAUUCAUAACUGUGACCAAAGGGGAAGAGACACUUGGGGGAUAGGAUAUCUAGAGGAUUAGAGCUAGAAAUGGUUAUUGAGAAAUUCCAUCUUCAUUUCUGCUACAGUUAGAACUUCCAGAGGAAGGAGGGGAAGACUGAGGUUUUGCGCAACCCAUUUUGGGGCCUGUUUAGACCCCCAUUCUCCUUGGCAGCAGAAUACACUUAACCUAAAGCAGUAUUUGGGAUUGAGGAAAACCUGGUGGGGAACUGGUUGGAAGUAAAGAAAAUCUGCCUGUAGAAAUGGAGGUUCUUUGCAUAGAGAACAAGCCUCAGCUACACUUUGACCUUUGGACUGAUUUCUGUCUCCAAUACAAUAUUGCUGCCUUUGCAUGAGGAUGGAGCAUGAACUUGUGACUUGGGAGGCCCAUAGUACUGUGUAAAGUAUAUGAUAAUCAAGAACAAGUUUGUCAUCCCAGGUGGCUAAAGCAUGGCAGGGAUAAGUCCUAUUUUGUUGUUUCUCAUUUGAAAAGGACCCAUCUAGUUAAAUACAUGCUAACGUAUUAGCCAACUGUAACUAGGGUAGCUAGAAAUAAGGGUUUUCUUAAGUAAAAGAAAAUUCUUCUGUGUAUCUCUAAUAGUGGGUUUUUAGGUCAGUCCAUGGCUGUGCCAGAAUUUUGUGUUUGUGAGCAAGGAUUGUUCUUAAUGAUUUGAACACUUAAAUAAGGAAAGCUAAAUCCUUUGUGGUAUAAAAUUGGAAACUGA
Galeopterus variegatus (Sunda flying lemur) is the source of this 2489-nucleotide RNA transcript. It is a transcript of the gene named SPRY domain containing 4, with no coding region annotated. The transcript is spliced from 3 exons. NCBI's taxonomy places the organism in Eukaryota, Metazoa, Chordata, Mammalia, Dermoptera, Cynocephalidae. The record is from RefSeq and is a predicted model, not a curated record.